GUCUGCGGCCACGCCACCCUGAACACGCCCGAUCCCGUCUGAUCUCGGAAGCUGAGCAGGGUCGGGCCUGGUUAGUACUUGGAUGGGAGACCACCCGGGAAGAUCAGGUGCUAUAGGCC
Molecule: ribosomal RNA, 119 nt
Filed under: Pteropus alecto (black flying fox)
Lineage: Eukaryota; Metazoa; Chordata; Mammalia; Chiroptera; Pteropodidae
Source: RNAcentral